RNAcentral lists this ribosomal RNA (498 nucleotides) under uncultured bacterium. Its description in RNAcentral is "partial 16S ribosomal RNA". It matches the Rfam family "Bacterial small subunit ribosomal RNA", at positions 29 to 523 of the family's 1533-position model. The record is from RNAcentral.
AUUGAACGCUGGCGGCAUGCUUUACACAUGCAAGUCGAACGGUAACAGGCCGCAAGGUGCUGACGAGUGGCGAACGGGUGAGUAAUGCAUCGGAACGUGCCCAGUCGUGGGGGAUAACGCAGCGAAAGCUGUGCUAACACCGCAUACGAUCUAUGGAUGAAAGCGGGGGACCGUAAGGCCUCGCGCGAUUGGAGCGGCCGAUGUCAGAUUAGCUAGUUGGUGGGGUAAAGGCCCACCAAGGCGACGAUCUGUAGCUGGUCUGAGAGGACGACCAGCCACACUGGGACUGAGACACGGCCCAGACCCCUACGGGAGGCAGCAGUGGGGAAUUUUGGACAAUGGGCGCAAGCCUGAUCCAGCAAUGCCGCGUGCAGGAAGAAGGCCUUCGGGUUGUAAACUGCUUUUGUACGGAACGAAACGGUCUGGGUUAAUACCCUGGGCUAAUGACGGUACCAUAAGAAUAAGCACCGGCUAACUACGUGCCAGCCGCCGCAGUAA